CAGCCGCCACGGGAAUACGAAGGGUGCAAGCGUUAAUCGGAAUUACUGGGCGUAAAGCGUGCGUAGGCGGUUUGUUAAGUCCGUUGUGAAAGCCCUGGGCUCAACCUGGGAAUUGCAGUGGAUACUGGGUCACUAGAGUGUGGUAGAGGAUAGUGGAAUUUCCGGUGUAGCAGUGUAAUGCGUAGAGAUCGGAAGGAACAUCUGUGGCGAAGGCGACUAUCUGGGCCAACACUGACACUGAGGCACGAAAGCGUGGGGAGCAAACAGGAUUAGAUACCCGCGUAGUCCCUGUCUCUUAUAC
RNAcentral lists this ribosomal RNA (301 nucleotides) under uncultured bacterium. RNAcentral's name for it is "partial 16S ribosomal RNA". It matches the Rfam family "Bacterial small subunit ribosomal RNA", at positions 509 to 807 of the family's 1533-position model. The record is from RNAcentral.